AGGAUAAACGCUGGCGGCGUGCCUAACACAUGCAAGUCGAACGCCCUUUAGCUUCGCAAGGAGUGGGAGGGAGUGGCGGACGGGUGAGGAACACGUGGGUGACCUACCUUUCAGUGAGGAAUACCGGCGAGAAAUCGCCGACAAGACCGCAUACGGUUGCUGCAUCAGCGCAGCAACGAAAGCUUCACGAGAGUGAGGCGCUGGAAGAUGGGCCUGCGGCCGAUUAGCUAGCUGGUGGGGUAACGGCCUACCAGGGCGACGAUCGGUAGCUGGUCUGAGAGGACGAUCAGCCACACUGGGAUUGAGAACGGCCCAGACUCCUACGGGGGGCAGCAGUGAGGAAUUUUCGGCAAUGGGGGCAACCCGUGACCGAGCAACGCCGCGUGCAGGAGGAAGGUCUUCGGAUCGUAAACUGCUUUUCUGUGGGAAGAGGAACGGACGGUACCACGAGGAAGAAGCCCCGGCUAACCUACGCGCCAGCAGCCGCGGU
This 490-nucleotide ribosomal RNA is filed under the name uncultured bacterium. Its description in RNAcentral is "SSU rRNA". It matches the Rfam family "Bacterial small subunit ribosomal RNA", at positions 26 to 521 of the family's 1533-position model. The record is from RNAcentral.